GAUGAACGCUGGCGGCGUGCUUAACACAUGCAAGUCGAACGAUGAAGCCCAGCUUGCUGGGUGGAUUAGUGGCGAACGGGUGAGUAACACGUGAGUAACCUGCCCUUGACUCUGGGAUAAGCCUGGGAAACUGGGUCUAAUACCGGAUAGGAACGUCCACCGCAUGGUGGGUGUUGGAAAGAUUUAUCGGUCAUGGAUGGACUCGCGGCCUAUCAGCUUGUUGGUGAGGUAAUGGCUCACCAAGGCGACGACGGGUAGCCGGCCUGAGAGGGUGACCGGCCACACUGGGACUGAGACGCGGCCCAGACUCCUACGGGAGGCAGCAGUGGGGAAUAUUGCACAAUGGGCGAAAGCCUGAUGCAGCGACGCCGCGUGAGGGAUGACGGCCUUCGGGUUGUAAACCUCUUUCAGUAGGGAAGAAGCGAAAGUGACGGUACCUGCAGAAGAAGCACCGGCUAACUACGUG
RNAcentral lists this ribosomal RNA (466 nucleotides) under uncultured bacterium. RNAcentral describes it as "partial 16S ribosomal RNA". It matches the Rfam family "Bacterial small subunit ribosomal RNA", at positions 28 to 507 of the family's 1533-position model. The record is from RNAcentral.